RNAcentral lists this ribosomal RNA (753 nucleotides) under Bacillus cereus. RNAcentral's name for it is "bacterial SSU rRNA". It matches the Rfam family "Bacterial small subunit ribosomal RNA", at positions 52 to 785 of the family's 1533-position model. Lineage: Bacteria; Bacillati; Bacillota; Bacilli; Caryophanales; Bacillaceae. The record is from RNAcentral.
UACAUGCAAGUCGAGCGAAUGGAUUAAGAGCUUGCUCUUAUGAAGUUAGCGGCGGACGGGUGAGUAACACGUGGGUAACCUGCCCAUAAGACUGGGAUAACUCCGGGAAACCGGGGCUAAUACCGGAUAACAUUUUGAACUGCAUGGUUCGAAAUUGAAAGGCGGCUUCGGCUGUCACUUAUGGAUGGACCCGCGUCGCAUUAGCUAGUUGGUGAGGUAACGGCUCACCAAGGCAACGAUGCGUAGCCGACCUGAGAGGGUGAUCGGCCACACUGGGACUGAGACACGGCCCAGACUCCUACGGGAGGCAGCAGUAGGGAAUCUUCCGCAAUGGACGAAAGUCUGACGGAGCAACGCCGCGUGAGUGAUGAAGGCUUUCGGGUCGUAAAACUCUGUUGUUAGGGAAGAACAAGUGCUAGUUGAAUAAGCUGGCACCUUGACGGUACCUAACCAGAAAGCCACGGCUAACUACGUGCCAGCAGCCGCGGUAAUACGUAGGUGGCAAGCGUUAUCCGGAAUUAUUGGGCGUAAAGCGCGCGCAGGUGGUUUCUUAAGUCUGAUGUGAAAGCCCACGGCUCAACCGUGGAGGGUCAUUGGAAACUGGGAGACUUGAGUGCAGAAGAGGAAAGUGGAAUUCCAUGUGUAGCGGUGAAAUGCGUAGAGAUAUGGAGGAACACCAGUGGCGAAGGCGACUUUCUGGUCUGUAACUGACACUGAGGCGCGAAAGCGUGGGGAGCAAACAGGAUUAGAUAC